UUUUUAUUAUUAUAGCUUAGCCUAGAGAAUUAAGUAAAUGUGUAUUACUUCACUCCUGCACACCCUUUAAAACGCAGCUAACAGACACUGAAUAAACCAGCCCAUCCCCGGCGGGAUCAGGAGUUGCUUGCCCCAUAUGCUGUCCCCAGGCUGCAGCCGCCUGAGGGGACUCGCCCGGGGCCCGCCCUCAGAGCUCACACCCGCCGUGCGCUCUCGCCCCGGGGCCGCCCCGCCGAUCCUCCCCCGCGGCUCUGCGCGCACAGGCCGGACGCUCGGAGCCGGCGCCGGACCCCCCUGCUCGGCCUCCUGGGCGCACCAGCGGCCUCCGCGCAGGCUCCGUGCCCGCGCACGCGCCCUCGCGUCGCGCUCCUGGAGGAGAGACCUGCGCUCGGGCCGGGCUCCGGGCGGUUCUCGAGCUGCAGUUCCAACGGGACUUCCGCGGCCUUUUGGACGAGCCGCCGCGCCCAGAGAUGUUCAGGUUGGAGCGACACUUCCCAGAGGGCAGCGGUCACUCCAGAUCUUCGGCUUCCAUUUCCGUUUUCGCGCGGUUCUCCCUCUUUGCAGGGUGCAAAACCAUGGAGUGAAAUCAUACAGUAUUUCUUUCUCCGUCUGACUGUUUUUGCUCAAGAUCCAUCCAUCUUGUCUCACAUGGGAUGAGUUUGUCUGUUUUUAUGGGU
Molecule: long non-coding RNA, 677 nt
Filed under: Equus asinus (donkey)
Lineage: Eukaryota; Metazoa; Chordata; Mammalia; Perissodactyla; Equidae
Description: lncRNA (ENSEASG00005028333.1)
Source: RNAcentral